GAGUUUGAUCAUGGCUCAGAACGAACGCUGGCGGCAGGCUUAACACAUGCAAGUCGAACGCCCUCUUCGGAGGGAGUGGCAGACGGGUGAGUAACACGUGGGAACCUACCUAGGGGUACGGAAUAACUCGGGGAAACUCGUGCUAAUACCGUAUACGACCUUCGGGUGAAAGAUUUAUCGCCCCUAGAUGGGCCCGCGCUGGAUUAGCUAGUUGGUGGGGUAAAAGCCUACCAAGGCGACGAUCCAUAGCUGGUCUGAGAGGAUGAUCAGCCACACUGGGACUGAGACACGGCCCAGACUCCUACGGGAGGCAGCAGUGGGGAAUCUUGGACAAUGGGCGCAAGCCUGAUCCAGCCAUGCCGCGUGAGUGAUGAAGGCCCUAGGGUUGUAAAGCUCUUUCGCCAGGGAAGAUAAUGACGGUACCUGGAUAAGAAGCCCCGGCUAACUCCGUGCCAGCAGCCGCGGUA
This 467-nucleotide ribosomal RNA is filed under the name uncultured Alphaproteobacteria bacterium. Its description in RNAcentral is "bacterial SSU rRNA". It matches the Rfam family "Bacterial small subunit ribosomal RNA", at positions 9 to 522 of the family's 1533-position model. The record is from RNAcentral. Lineage: Bacteria; Pseudomonadati; Pseudomonadota; Alphaproteobacteria.